This is a long non-coding RNA of Gallus gallus (chicken), 3128 nucleotides long. RefSeq lists it as uncharacterized. Lineage: Eukaryota; Metazoa; Chordata; Aves; Galliformes; Phasianidae. The transcript is spliced from 8 exons. The record is from RefSeq and is a predicted model, not a curated record.
AGAGACUUGCAAGGAGAGCUUUUUGAAUUUUUCCAAUAUCUAUGUGGCAGGUAAGGUUAAAUUAAAUUGUAUCUUAAUUUCUUAUUACAUCAUUUCUUGAAUGUUGCUGAGAAUUUCCAUUCUUUGUCUUUACUCUGAGGAAGAUCUCCCAGCCGUGAAUAACACACUGUGAAGCACCUCAGGCAGAUUCCUUAGUGACUGGCAUCGCAUCUGGCCACAGAUGAAGAGUGAAGGACACCAAACAUUAAAACCUCUUUCCCCAGCCUCUGUGCAUUAUUGCUCUUUGCAAUUUGGCUGAGUCUCUCUUUGGCUGUGGUAGAGGGCCAGCAGAGAGCUACUGCUUUCUUUUUCAUCCCUGUUAGCUUCACCUGCUGGAAGAUGGCCACUGAGCAAUUUGACCUUUGCUCGUGGUUCAGGGUUGUAGUCUGUAGCACUACUUAUGCCAGAAGCAAGAAGCAUAGCCUACCUAUCUAUGUUGCAAAAGCAGUUGUGUUUGAAGGCUCAGCCUUUGUUUUUCUUAGUGUUUUGUUAUAUCGCUAUUCCUGUUUGAUUGUCUGUGAAAUGGAUGCACAGGAAGAAACUGCAAGACAUUCAGUCAUUGGAGCAGUCUCUAACCAGUCUUUCUGAGCACUGAUAUAGCUGAACUCUUCCUACAUACUUCUGUCUCACAGAUCCAGAUGUUCUUCUCACUUCUGUUUAGAUUUGUUACCUGAGAAGAAUGACAAAGACUUCCACAGAGCACUUCUUGCUUGAGCUGACAGAUCUUGAGCUACGUGAUGAGAGCUUACAAUGGAAAAAAAAAAAGUCAUUGACUUCCACUGCAUCCACUAGCUUCCAGAAGGCUUGGAAGGGUUCAACCUGGUAUGUCUUACCAGAUAGAGACCCUGGAAGAAAGACUUUUUGUUUCUCCUCUGCUCCCAAACAUGGAAUGGAUUAUUCUGGAGAAAAUUAAUGAAAAUGUUGGAUGGAGGGGAAUUUGAAGCAGAUGCAUAUCUUUCCCUGACCACACUGAAGUGAAAUAGGAAUAGCAGAAAUGGGAAGAGUUGGAAUAAUACAGAAAAAAUUACUGAAUAAUUAUAGAGCCUCUCCUCUAAAUGUGAUGAUAUUCAAGAGGGAACAGUGGGCUUUGAGAGUCUUAUCAGCAGAUUCAUUGAUCUUGCUUUGUACCUUUACCGGGAUCCAUAUUCAAGAGAACUUCAAGAUUGUAUUUAAUACAAGAGUUUUUGAGAAGAACUUGCCUCUGUUCCAGAAUUUCUGGAAGACUAACUUGGAGUUUAAUACAUCUUUUGUCUGCUGAGAUUCUUGUUGGGUGCUGAAGUCUUCACCUCUGUCAGACAAUACUGUCAACAGUGUUUAACCUCUGGCUCCAUGGGAGUACACUGCAGUACUCCUGUUAGCAGAUAUUAGAAUGACAGUUCUUCACAUGGGCAGCUAAGAAGAUCUUGCAUUGUUUCCCUUUCUCCUGCAGAAAGCGGCUGGCAGAGCUCACGCCUUUACUUAAGGGAAGGCUCGGCACAGAAAUGCUCCGAAGACUGGAUGCUGCUCUUCUUGCAAGCUUCCACUUGGGGGCACAGGCGGUUCACUCUUGCAAACCUCUCCGUCGGGCUGCAGGAGGAAGAAAACCUGCUAAGUUUAGUUCAGGCAACUCCUAUAAAGUAGAACCUUAACAAGCACGGAUGUUUCUGGCACCUCUCUACAUGUGGGAUAUGUUGCACCUCCAGAGCAUGCUGUUCUGCCUGACACCUUGGUACCCAGAAGGAAUUACGACUUACAUGGACGUGUAUGCCAAGCUUCAUUUUUUGACUGGUGAGCUGAUGAAUUAUGGCAUGUAUCCACUUUAUAAGAGACAUAGUGCUUGAUAAAUGGGAAGGAAGUCCCUUGAUUUCCUCACUUUGCCCACCAUGAUGCACAAUAAAAAUUACACCCCUUGAACUUUCAUGGACUUAAGUUUGCCUCCAGAAAUCAGAGUGAAGGAACCCCUUGGAAAUGAUCUGCCUCUGGCUGCACAGCCCCAGGGAGUGCAUCUGCUCCCAUUGCAGGCUGGCAGACCCCUAAGAGUGGCUGAGUUACCAUCCUGCAUGUUGGGUAUUCCCCUGGCAUGCACUCAGAAAAUCUGAAGAACUCAAAGAAAAUAAUCCAUGGACUGUGAGCAGUGUGAAGAGGCUUGCCCAGUAAGCCUGGAGCAAGUUUCUACCAUCAAGAUAACCUGUUCAGCCUCCUCUGGUUCCUGAAGUGCCCUUGUGGGAAAGUGCUGCCAGUGUUACUGUUUUCCUGCUGAGACUGAUGGAGUUGGAGACAGCAUCUGUGAAAUGAAAUUACAGCUCUCAAUGCUUUCUACUUCAUCUUGAGGAGAUUUCAAGAGAUACCGUGUAACCACUUUCAGUAAUUUUUAAUCCACUUGCUACUGUGGAAAUUAAUUAAGAGAUUAUGAAAACAGUGGUGUUUAGGGAUGUCAGCUUGAGUCAUGCUUCCAGCAUGAGUUCAUGCUCAGACUACCUAACAAAAGCAAUGAGAUCCACUGUGCCUUCUGAAGCGAAGAACUCAGUAUUAAACAGUUGGAAGGCUUUAAUAAGAGAACAGUAAGUAUGUAAUGGUGAUGUCUUGAGUUUCUGUAUAGGCAACUAAAAUGUCUGGAAUUACCAUUGAGGUGAAUGUGGCAAUUAGAGUUUGGACAACAUUGUUUUGUUUGGAGUCAUCAUGAAAGGAGAGGCAAGUUGCAUCACCUCACUGUUCACAUUUUAUGACACGUAUAAUUCACUUAGGGACCUGGGUUCCAGCUGCUAUGAAAUGUAAAAUAAUCAAAGAGAACCUCUUUCUAAACUGAAGUAGUCCAAGAGAACAGUGUUCUCUAGAGUACCUCACCCACGAAGAGGAGGUUCAGGUUAGUAGGCCAGAAGAGCCUCAAGGUGCUCUGUGGUCCCGUGUCUGACCUAAAGGGCUGGCCGGUUGGUGCUUGACUUUACACAACUGCUCUUCUUGAUACUGCUAUGACAACUAAAUAUUUUCUGGUGGCAAUUCCACCAAUGAGUGAAGUCAGGAGAAUAUUGUUUUAAUCUGAUUUUAUACUGUGUAGUAACUAUGCCAUAUUCAAUAUGAAUUUAUUUAAAUAAAAGAUAUGUACACGCUUA